AAACUCAUUGCCUUAAGGUCCCAGUAUUGCAAAUACUGGUGUGAAUAUUAUAAUUAUUCUGAGUUUU
This 67-nucleotide transfer RNA is filed under the name Spirometra theileri. RNAcentral's name for it is "tRNA-Cys". Lineage: Eukaryota; Metazoa; Platyhelminthes; Cestoda; Diphyllobothriidea; Diphyllobothriidae. The record is from RNAcentral.